CUGCCUGCUGCUGCUGCCGCCAAGAGCUGCCUGCUGCUGCUGCUGCCUGCUCGUCAUCCCCUCUCUCCUCUCUAUUUCUAGGGUUUCUCUCUCUCCUUAUCCACCGGAGAUUCCUAUCCAUCCGCUUGCAGCCCCAACAUUGCCGCUCUCAUAUGGAUUUCAAUGGUCAUCUGCGGGUGGUGCGGAAGCGCAGAUUUGAGAAGCAAAUCGCCGAUACAUGCCUCUGCGUAGCCCCAAAUCUACCCUCUUGAUUAGCUGCUGCGUUUGAUUUCGUUUCACAUGUUUGAGUGCAGAUUUUCAAUUCGUCACCCCCUAAUUGAUUUUGCAUCCCGUUACUCACAGCUCGCCGCUUGUAACUACUCGGUAUCGUCGGAGGCACAGGGUCACAUCAGGGCUGGGAUUCAAGUUGAGGGCACAUGGAUUUUUUUCAUGCCGUCAGAGGGAAGGCCUCAUCCUUUUUUUUAAAGAAAAAAUAUAGCAGAAAGAACCACAUACAGCCUGUUCGUCUUGCUGAUCAGCGCUGGUUGGCUGGUGCUGUAGCUACAGUACCAUUGUAGCUACAGUACCGGUACAGCACGCGCUCCCACGUGUAAUCGAGAUUAUACCAUGUGUAGUUGCUACAGUAAUCAGCCGCUACAGUAUUCAGCCAAGCCAAACCAUCCAGCCGAACAGGCCGAUAGUUGCCAUUUUAAUUGUUUGUAUAUGCAGGGUGCAGACAUCACAUUCAUGCUCCACCUGAGAGGUCGAGAACCAGGUUAAUGCUAUUCAAAUAACCAUAGCCUGGUUCCAAUGACAUGAGGGCAAAGAAGCAGCAAGGUCGUGCUAACUCAUCUAAUGUGGAUCAACAAGAAGUUAGUGUAGUUUAUUAAGCACAACAAUUCAGGAAUCUGUCGGUUUUGGUAAGUCGAGUUUUCAUGUUUAAAAUUAUGAAAGAAGUAUCACAUGUUAGACACUACUAGGAUUGGGAUCACAUAUUAAACCACAUCGCUCCUUGCUAAUUGUUCAUGUUGAUAUAUAUAUAUAUAUAUAUAUAUAUAUAUAUAUAUAUAUAUAUAUAUAUAUAUAGCAUUUAAGUUGACACCAAGCAUUUUGAUGAUUACUCAAUACCAAUUUAGUAAUCCGGUAUAGGCAGUAAUAUUGUAUUUAUUAGGCAAUAACAUUAUUUAUUGAUUAAACAUUGGGUUUACUGGAAUUCAUCUGUAGGUUGCCUAUGCUAAAUCAAUAAGCAGAUUGUGCAAUUUUUAGUCUAGCAUUGUUUUGUAUGGAAAAUAUCUGCACCACAAACAUGUUGUAAAUAUUUAUGAAAAACACUAGCUCUGCAUAAGUACAGCUGAGCCUAAUCAUAGCAAUUUUGUUAGUCUAUUUUUCAUCUUGGUGCGGGUAAUAAGCCCAUCAUUUUUGCUAUAUCUUUGUCUUAGAGCUAUGUUGGUGUAACUAGCCCAAUUUUUCAAAACAAUAUAGUUUGGUAGGCAAUAAUGUGGUUCUGACUAUACACUUUUUUAGUUGUAACUUGGCAAAACAAUGUACUUUGUUAGGCAAAAUUACAGUUCCCAUCUAGGCAUUAAUAUGGGGUGAAUUAGGAAAUAUUAGGGUUUUGGAUCAUACAAAUCAAUAUACUUCAUUAGGUAACAAAAUACUUGGAAUGCACAUCUAAAAUGCUUAAUUGGUAUCAUUAAAAUACAAACUAAAUAUUAAUCUAAAUGCUCAUGCAUGCACCAGGACCCUUUUCUUGCAUGCUAUAUGCUAACUGAUUUGGUUCUCUUUUUCUCGUUAUGUGACGGAUCAUGAAAGGAGAUCCUCAGUUAUGCAAGUAUAAAGAUAACACGCAUUUGUGAUAAUAUGUUGGUAGAUAUUUUUUUACCGAGAUGCAUACAUAGCACCAUGAGUCAUGAAUCUUCAGUUUUUGCUUUGUGAUGUAGUUUUGGAUUAAGGGAGGGGGAGGCAAAUGUGUUUGUGUAAAUAACCGAUUAUAAAUCAAAUUGCUAGAUUUAUAACCAUCUACAGUCCUAAACCAUUUUUUAGACAAAAGGUUGCCCCCGCUUUAUUGCAAGCACAAAGCGUACAGUUCUAAAUCAUGUGUUGUAUACCUUAACAUAUGUACCCCCUGAAUAAAAUUGCAUGUCUAUGCUUUUUUUAUGAUCUUGAAUCUUUCCAUUUCAAUUUUAUGCAUCAUUUAUCAAUACAAUCACAUCUCUUUUCAGGUUUGGUUUCCUCUUUUUUUUUGCCUAUUUUUAUGAUAGGUGAUUCCUUUUAUUUCUUAUACGUUUUGGGAUCACUGCAAUAUUGAAUACUCAUAGCUCUGUGUGUAGGGAGUUUGUAUCAUGUAUAGGAGCAAUAGAAAUGUGUCUCAGCAAGCAUAUACCCAAGGAAUAACAGAUUGGUAGUCAAUGUCAUAUACCCCUCCGGAUUUAUUUGUGGGCAAGGUUUAUUAAAUCAUCAAGCAAUUUAUUCAUUUUAGUUUAGUAUAUUUGCAUUCUGAUUCUGGUGUGUUUCUAUAUUCCUAAAUAUCAAUUUACUCUGGUACUUUUUGCGUAGCCCUCUGUCUGUUGGUGCAGCAUUUUUAGUUAUCAAUACCCUUAACAAAACAUUUUGAGCAUCCUUGCGUGUAACAUAUGAAAUUUCCAUUCCUAAAAUUAUGCUUUAGGUUUGAGUUAUCAUUUUUUUUCAGAUGAUUUGCCAUCUUCUUCAAUUGAUUUUAGUUCUUGCUUGGUGUUUGGUGUUAGAGAGUAGACUCAUACAAACCAAUGAUGCAACUAAUUCUUUUUGCAUUUUGGUCUUUAAAAUGCUUCUGCUCAUGUUCUAAUUUGCUCAUAAUUUUUCAAAAUUUUGCUUAAUAGGUUUCAAAAAAUUGCUUAUUGUAAUUUGUUGAGUUGAUUACCAGCAUAUAAAAUGCAAGGAUUAGUUGUGUGGGUUUUGAUUAUUUUUGCAUGCUCAUUUGUUUUAAGUUGCUUUUGAGUUCAUUAUAGUGCGCCUACAACUUGUAGCAAAAAUGCUUAUUCAGCAAAAAUAUAUAGUUGACCAAAAUAUUGCGUUCUUCAUUAUGGAAGUACUUUUUCAGUUUUCUAUGUGAAAUGCACCACUUGAAGUGUUCUCUAGUCAGAUAUUCCCUCCAACAUCUGUGCUACAAGCUAUCUGAUUGUCCUUUUUUCUCACUGUACUUUGCAGACUAUGAAUGCAAAUACUACAGCAUGUAAUGAGAAGAAAAAAAAUCUGAUAUGUUCAUU
Molecule: long non-coding RNA, 3224 nt
Organism: Panicum virgatum (switchgrass)
Lineage: Eukaryota; Viridiplantae; Streptophyta; Magnoliopsida; Poales; Poaceae
Exons: 5
Source: RefSeq, a predicted model, not a curated record